RNAcentral lists this ribosomal RNA (629 nucleotides) under uncultured eukaryote. RNAcentral's name for it is "SSU rRNA". It matches the Rfam family "Eukaryotic small subunit ribosomal RNA", at positions 609 to 1235 of the family's 1831-position model. The record is from RNAcentral.
GUUGUUGCAGUUAAAAAGCUCGUAGUUGGAUCUCAGGCCUGUGACCGGUGGUCCGCCCGAUACGGGUGUGCACUGCCGUGUCCGGUCUACGUCUGGUUUCAAUCUAUAGUGCUCUUAACCGGGUGCUAUAGAAUGCCAGAAAGUUUACUCUGAAAAAAUUAGAGUGCUUAAAGCAAGCCGUUGUGCUUGAAUACUGUUGCAUGGAAUAAUGGAAUAGGACCUCGGAUCUAUUUUGUUGGUUUUCGGAGUCGAGGUAAUGAUUAAGAGGGACAGACGGGGGCAUUCGUAUUGCGCCGUUAGAGGUGAAAUUCUUGGAUCGGCGCAAGACGAACAACUGCGAAAGCAUUUGCCAAGGAUGUUUUCAUUAAUCAAGAACGAAAGUCAGAGGUUCGAAGACGAUCAGAUACCGUCGUAGUUCUGACCAUAAACGAUGCCAACUGGCGAUCUGCCGCAGUCUGGCUUAAAGGACUCGGCAGGCAGCCUCCGGGAAACCUAAGUCUAUGGGUUCCGGGGGAAGUAUGGUUGCAAAGCUGAAACUUAAAGGAAUUGACGGAAGGGCACCACCAGGAGUGGAGCCUGCGGCUUAAUUUGACUCAACACGGGAAAACUCACCCGGCCAGGACACCGUA